RNAcentral lists this ribosomal RNA (356 nucleotides) under uncultured bacterium. Its description in RNAcentral is "bacterial SSU rRNA". It matches the Rfam family "Bacterial small subunit ribosomal RNA", at positions 8 to 334 of the family's 1533-position model. The record is from RNAcentral.
AGGGUUCGAUUCUGGCUCAGGAUGAACGCUGGCGGCGUGCUUAACACAUGCAAGUCGAACGAAGCAAUACUGUGUGAAGAGAUUAGCUUGCUAAGAUCAGAACUUUGUAUUGACUGAGUGGCGGACGGGUGAGUAACGCGUGGGCAACCUGCCUUACACAGGGGGAUAACAGCUAGAAAUGGCUGCUAAUACCGCAUAAGACCUCAGUACCGCAUGGUAGAGGGGUAAAAACUCCGGUGGUGUAAGAUGGGCCCGCGUCUGAUUAGGUAGUUGGUAGGGUAACGGCCUACCAAGCCGACGAUCAGUAGCCGACCUGAGAGGGUGACCGGCCACAUUGGGACUGAGACACGGCCCAA